RNAcentral lists this ribosomal RNA (804 nucleotides) under uncultured Mycobacterium sp. Its description in RNAcentral is "bacterial SSU rRNA". It matches the Rfam family "Bacterial small subunit ribosomal RNA", at positions 546 to 1348 of the family's 1533-position model. Lineage: Bacteria; Bacillati; Actinomycetota; Actinomycetes; Mycobacteriales; Mycobacteriaceae. The record is from RNAcentral.
CGGAAUUACUGGGCGUAAAGAGCUCGUAGGUGGUUUGUCGCGUUGUUCGUGAAAUCUCACGGCUUAACUGUGAGCGUGCGGGCGAUACGGGCAGACUUGAGUACUGCAGGGGAGACUGGAAUUCCUGGUGUAGCGGUGGAAUGCGCAGAUAUCAGGAGGAACACCGGUGGCGAAGGCGGGUCUCUGGGCAGUAACUGACGCUGAGGAGCGAAAGCGUGGGGAGCGAACAGGAUUAGAUACCCUGGUAGUCCACGCCGUAAACGGUGGGUACUAGGUGUGGGUUUCCUUCCUUGGGAUCCGUGCCGUAGCUAACGCAUUAAGUACCCCGCCUGGGGAGUACGGCCGCAAGGCUAAAACUCAAAGAAAUUGACGGGGGCCCGCACAAGCGGCGGAGCAUGUGGAUUAAUUCGAUGCAACGCGAAGAACCUUACCUGGGUUUGACAUGCACAGGACGCCGGCAGAGAUGUCGGUUCCCUUGUGGCCUGUGUGCAGGUGGUGCAUGGCUGUCGUCAGCUCGUGUCGUGAGAUGUUGGGUUAAGUCCCGCAACGAGCGCAACCCUUGUCUCAUGUUGCCAGCGGGUAAUGCCGGGGACUCGUGAGAGACUGCCGGGGUCAACUCGGAGGAAGGUGGGGAUGACGUCAAGUCAUCAUGCCCCUUAUGUCCAGGGCUUCACACAUGCUACAAUGGCCGGUACAAAGGGCUGCGAUGCCGCGAGGUUAAGCGAAUCCUUUUAAAGCCGGUCUCAGUUCGGAUCGGGGUCUGCAACUCGACCCCGUGAAGUCGGAGUCGCUAGUAAUCGCAGA